This 186-nucleotide ribosomal RNA is filed under the name uncultured bacterium. RNAcentral's name for it is "partial 16S ribosomal RNA". It matches the Rfam family "Bacterial small subunit ribosomal RNA", at positions 1315 to 1500 of the family's 1533-position model. The record is from RNAcentral.
ACUACAUGAAGCUGGAAUCGCUAGUAAUCGCGAAUCAGAAUGUCGCGGUGAAUACGUUCCCGGGUCUUGUACACACCGCCCGUCACACCAUGGGAGAUGGAUAUGCCCGAAGUCAGUGACCUAACCGAAAGGGAGGAGCUGCCGAAGGUGGAGCCAUUAACUGGGGUGAAGUCGUAACAAGGUAAC